GGUUAAGCGACUAAGCGUACACGGUGGAUGCCCUGGCAGUCAGAGGCGAUGAAGGACGUGCUAAUCUGCGAUAAGCGUCGGUAAGGUGAUAUGAACCGUUAUAACCGGCGAUUUCCGAAUGGGGAAACCCAGUGUGUUUCGACACACUAUCAUUAACUGAAUCCAUAGGUUAAUGAGGCGAACCGGGGGAACUGAAACAUCUAAGUACCCCGAGGAAAAGAAAUCAACCGAGAUUCCCCCAGUAGCGGCGAGCGAACGGGGAGCAGCCCAGAGCCUGAAUCAGUGUGUGUGUUAGUGGAAGCGUCUGGAAAGGCGCGCGAUACAGGGUGACAGCCCCGUACACAAAAAUGCACAUAUUGUGAGCUCGAUGAGUAGGGCGGGACACGUGGUAUCCUGUCUGAAUAUGGGGGGACCAUCCUCCAAGGCUAAAUACUCCUGACUGACCGAUAGUGAACCAGUACCGUGAGGGAAAGGCGAAAAGAACCCCGGCGAGGGGAGUGAAAAAGAACCUGAAACCGUGUACGUACAAGCAGUGGGAGCACGCUUAGGCGUGUGACUGCGUACCUUUUGUAUAAUGGGUCAGCGACUUAUAUUCUGUAGCAAGGUUAACCGAAUAGGGGAGCCGAAGGGAAACCGAGUCUUAACUGGGCGUUAAGUUGCAGGGUAUAGACCCGAAACCCGGUGAUCUAGCCAUGGGCAGGUUGAAGGUUGGGUAACACUAACUGGAGGACCGAACCGACUAAUGUUGAAAAAUUAGCGGAUGACUUGUGGCUGGGGGUGAAAGGCCAAUCAAACCGGGAGAUAGCUGGUUCUCCCCGAAAGCUAUUUAGGUAGCGCCUCGUGAAUUCAUCUCCGGGGGUAGAGCACUGUUUCGGCAAGGGGGUCAUCCCGACUUACCAACCCGAUGCAAACUGCGAAUACCGGAGAAUGUUAUCACGGGAGACACACGGCGGGUGCUAACGUCCGUCGUGAAGAGGGAAACAACCCAGACCGCCAGCUAAGGUCCCAAAGUCAUGGUUAAGUGGGAAACGAUGUGGGAAGGCCCAGACAGCCAGGAUGUUGGCUUAGAAGCAGCCAUCAUUUAAAGAAAGCGUAAUAGCUCACUGGUCGAGUCGGCCUGCGCGGAAGAUGUAACGGGGCUAAACCAUGCACCGAAGCUGCGGCAGCGACGCUUAUGCGUUGUUGGGUAGGGGAGCGUUCUGUAAGCCUGUGAAGGUGUGCUGUGAGGCAUGCUGGAGGUAUCAGAAGUGCGAAUGCUGACAUAAGUAACGAUAAAGCGGGUGAAAAGCCCGCUCGCCGGAAGACCAAGGGUUCCUGUCCAACGUUAAUCGGGGCAGGGUGAGUCGACCCCUAAGGCGAGGCCGAAAGGCGUAGUCGAUGGGAAACAGGUUAAUAUUCCUGUACUUGGUGUUACUGCGAAGGGGGGACGGAGAAGGCUAUGUUGGCCGGGCGACGGUUGUCCCGGUUUAAGCGUGUAGGCUGGUUUUCCAGGCAAAUCCGGAAAAUCAAGGCUGAGGCGUGAUGACGAGGCACUACGGUGCUGAAGCAACAAAUGCCCUGCUUCCAGGAAAAGCCUCUAAGCAUCAGGUAACAUCAAAUCGUACCCCAAACCGACACAGGUGGUCAGGUAGAGAAUACCAAGGCGCUUGAGAGAACUCGGGUGAAGGAACUAGGCAAAAUGGUGCCGUAACUUCGGGAGAAGGCACGCUGAUAUGUAGGUGAAG
Molecule: ribosomal RNA, 1724 nt
Filed under: Escherichia coli
Lineage: Bacteria; Pseudomonadati; Pseudomonadota; Gammaproteobacteria; Enterobacterales; Enterobacteriaceae
Description: partial 23S ribosomal RNA
Rfam family: Bacterial large subunit ribosomal RNA
Source: RNAcentral